UCCACGCCGUAAACGAUGUCAACUAGCCGUUUGUGGACUUGAUCCGUGAGUGGCGCAGCUAACGCACUAAGUUGACCGCCUGGGGAGUACGGCCGCAAGGUUAAAACUCAAAUGAAUUGACGGGGGCCCGCACAAGCGGUGGAGCAUGUGGUUUAAUUCGAUGCAACGCGAAGAACCUUACCAUCCCUUGACAUCCACAGAAGAGACUAGAGAUAGACUUGUGCCUUCGGGAA
Molecule: ribosomal RNA, 233 nt
Filed under: uncultured bacterium
Lineage: Bacteria
Description: partial 16S ribosomal RNA
Rfam family: Bacterial small subunit ribosomal RNA
Source: RNAcentral